GCAGUAAGGAAUAUUGGGCAAUGGACGCAAGUCUGACCCAGCCAUGCCGCGUGGAGGAUGAAGGUCCUCUGGAUUGUAAACUUCUUUUAUUUGGGAAGAAAUGCCGAUUUUCUAAUUGGUUUGACGGUACCAGAUGAAUAAGCNCCGGCUAACUCCGUGCCAGCAGCCGCGGUAAUACGGAGGGUGCAAGCGUUAUCCGGAUUCACUGGGUUUAAAGGGUGCGUAGGCGGGCAUGUAAGUCAGUGGUGAAAUCCCCGAGCUUAACUUGGGAACUGCCGUUGAUACUAUGUGUCUUGAAUAUCGUGGAGGUAAGCGGAAUAUGUCAUGUAGCGGUGAAAUGCUUAGAUAUGACAUAGAACACCGAUUGCGAAGGCAGCUUACUACACGAUCAUUGACGCUGAGGCACGAAAGCGUGGGGAUCAAACAGGAUUAGAUACCCCUGGUAGUCCACGCCCUAAACUAUGGAUACUCGACAUAACGCGAUAUCA
Molecule: ribosomal RNA, 488 nt
Filed under: uncultured bacterium
Lineage: Bacteria
Description: bacterial SSU rRNA
Rfam family: Bacterial small subunit ribosomal RNA
Source: RNAcentral